UGCCAAGCAGCCGCGGUAAUUCCAGCUCCAAUAGCGUAUAUUAAAGUUGCUGCAGUUAAAAAGCUCGUAGCUGAACCUUGGGCCUGGUUGACCGGUCCGCCUAACGGUGUGCACUGGCUUGACCGGGCCUUUCCUUCUGGCUAGCCUGUAUGUCCUUUAUUGGGCGUGCAGGGGAACCAGGACUUUUACUUUGAAAAAAUUAGAGUGUUCAAAGCAGGCUUAUGCUCGAAUACAUUAGCAUGGAAUAAUAGAAUAGGACGUGUGGUUCUAUUUUGUUGGUUUCUAGGACCGCCGUAAUGAUUAAUAGGGACGGUUGGGGACAUUAGUAUUGAGUUGUCAGAGGUGAAAUUCUUGGAUUUACUCAAGACUAACUACUGCGAAAGCAUUUGUCAAGGAUGUUUUCAUUAGUCAAGAACGAAAGUUAGGGGAUCGAAGACGAUCAGAUACCGUCGUAGUCUUAACCAUAAACUAUGCCGACUAGGGAUCGGGCGAUGUUCUUUUCUUGACUCGCCCGGCACCUUAUGAGAAAUCAAAGUUUUUGGGUUCCGGGGGGAGUAUGGUCGCAAGGCUGAAACUUAAAGAAAUUGACGGAAGGGCACCACCAGGAGUGGAGCCUGCGGCUUAAUUUGACUCAACACGGGGAAACUCACCAGGUCCAGACAAAGUAAGGAUUGACAGAUUGAUAGCUCUUUCUUGAUUCUUUGGGUGGUGGUGCAUGGCCGUUCUUAGUUGGUGGAGUGAUUUGUCUGCUUAAUUGCGAUAACGAACGAGACCUUAACCUGCUAAAUAGCCCGACUAGCUUUUGCUGCUCGCUGGCUUCUUAGAGGGACUAUUGGCAUAAAGCCAAUGGAAGUUUGAGGCAAUAACAGGUCUGUGAUGCCCAAGG
This 886-nucleotide ribosomal RNA is filed under the name uncultured eukaryote. Its description in RNAcentral is "SSU rRNA". It matches the Rfam family "Eukaryotic small subunit ribosomal RNA", at positions 565 to 1476 of the family's 1831-position model. The record is from RNAcentral.